Pelobates cultripes (western spadefoot toad) is the source of this 1363-nucleotide non-coding RNA. NCBI's taxonomy places the organism in Eukaryota, Metazoa, Chordata, Amphibia, Anura, Pelobatidae. The record is from the annotation of a GenBank genome assembly.
GAAAAAUAGAGAGUGUGUGUCAAACUGCUGGAAUGAGUAGGGGGGUAACCCCUGUUGAAUGAAAUAUAAGUAGGAGGAAAAAUACAACGUAAACCUGAGGAGUGCACAUCCAGUAUAUCCUAGUGCACCUACAGGAUACUUGUAUAGAAGUCAGCAGUCUCAAAAUUAAAAUAUAACUUUUAAUAAUUUAGAUUUAAAAAUAUAUACGUGGUCGGUGAGGACAGAACUUACAAAAGUAAGGAGGAAGGAGAUAUGCUUGCUAGUAUCAAAUAGUGGCACAAAUAAAAGAGAGUGCAGGAGGGAGGGGGUUGAUAGAGAAAAUCUGAACUCCAACUAAUCCCCAGCGUACCCUCUUUUGCCUAAAGCAACCCAAAAAGCCCAAAGUUAGCAAAGUCACUAACUCCUAGCUCUAAAACUUAAAUAAUAAGCCUGACGGUAGAAAUAGCUGCCUAAUCGAAGAAAAACUGUCCUAACUAAAAACCAAAAACGGGUAGAGAGAUCUCGAGGGGGGUGACUAAAUAUAAAGUAAUGAAUUUUGCAGGAGCGUCCUCCCUAUCUGUCAGAUUCACCCUCCCCCUCAGUUCUUCCCGACGCGCGUUUCGCCGACUAGCGGCUUUUCAAGGGAACCGGGUGUAGGAGAGAUCGAGGUUUAAAUAUCCCGCCCUCUCUUGUGAUUGGCCCGAAGUACUAGCCUGCACGGAGGGAGGGAGCUUGGGUCUCAUCUGUGAUUAACCCUUUUAGGGUCAAAAACAAGUGUAUACACGGAUGGGACACUCACUUAAAUAAAGGAGAAAAAUGUCAUUAAAAAUGUUCAGUAUUGGAACGAACGAUGAAUUAAUUCAGCUAGAGCUGCAAUGAUACUUGUAGUGGUACUCUACACAAUGUUAAACAAAAAAGAUACUGCUAGAAUAGUAAUCAUGUUAAGAUUUAUUACAAAAUAAAUUAAUGUUUCAGCAACGAAAGUUGCAACUUAUAAGAUAGUGCUUCUUCUAAUAUGUAUUGGUAUGAUGCCAAUAAUAUUAAAAGCACUUAUACACUAAAGGUAUUUAACUUGUGUCAAAUGUAUAGUAAAGGUAUUUCCACUUAUUUAAAGGGAAACACAUAGUGAUUAAAUGAAAUCACACUAGUAUAGAUAGUUACUGAGAGGUGUAUAGAAAAAGUAGGUUUAAAUCCUUUCUAAUUGAUUGCAUAAAUACUAAUUUGCCAAUAUGACAGCUGGAGUUCUUCACUACAUAUAGUGUAAGCUUCCGAACCAUUCCUAUACGGCAAUUUAAGACACUAACCAUCUCUAAGUAUGAAUAAACGGAGUAAAGUUAAACUCCUCGUUUAAUCCUUUGGGGUAUAGUGUUUGGAAAGAGUAAAU